ACUCCCAUUCUUGGCAGGCCCCGGCCGCCCUGUGCCCGGGUCUGUGAUGUCCGGAGGUAGAGCAGCGACUCUUUCAUGGGCACCC
This 85-nucleotide small nucleolar RNA is filed under the name Buceros rhinoceros silvestris. RNAcentral describes it as "Small nucleolar RNA SNORA57". It matches the Rfam family "Small nucleolar RNA SNORA57". From Rfam's summary of the family: U99 belongs to the H/ACA class of snoRNAs which are thought to guide the sites of modification of uridines to pseudouridines, the target for this family is unknown. Lineage: Eukaryota; Metazoa; Chordata; Aves; Bucerotiformes; Bucerotidae. The record is from Rfam by way of RNAcentral.